GAGAUAAGUAAGUCAAGUUGAAUAUUUCUUGUGAUAAUAACAUGUCAGAUUGAAGUCUUAAAGUACUAAUCAAAAAAGUUGAAGGGUUAUAGUGUUAGUGAAUACCACUUUUAAAGGUUUUUAUGCAAUUUUUUACAUGUUAAUUUGUAGCAGUUAAACAAAAGUUACAAGGGUUUAUUUUUAGCAAGCAUGGACGUUUGAGUUUUCGGGUCAAGUUCGAGCCGGUUUCUUUCGGGUCCGAAUCCUUUGGAACUUAGACAUUUGGAUCCAAUAAGUAUUUAUAAAUUUUUGGUUCGGGUUCGAGUCGGUUCUUUUCGGAUCCGGAUCGGUUCGGCUCUAUAAGUAAAAUACCCGUAAAGUACCUGUAAUUUUUCGGAUCCGUAUCGGGUCCAUAUCAGGUUUAGGAUCUUAAAAUGACAUGAAAUAUCCAAACUCCAUCAAAUUCAGUCAAUAUUUGUCAAUAUAUCUAAAUUUUUACAAAACAACUUAAAUUAAACUAUUAAUAAUUAAAAUAAAAUAUUUUUAAACUCUAAAUUUUACAUUUUAAAAUUUCUUCUAUCUUAUUAAAAUAGAAAUACACUUAGAAAUUACUCCUAAUUUUUUAAAGUUAUUUACAUUACAACGCACUAAGGCUUUAAAUCAUCUUUCUUUUUAAUAAUGUUGUCCCUCCGAUUAGUUAAUGAAUAUUCCUAACUAGAAUUUUCCCUACCAAAAUCUAUACAAUACUAAAAGCAAGAUAUAAGCCAUGGAGAGGCAUGCCACAUAGGAUUAAAAAUUCGGACCAAUCAGAGAUUGGCUUUCUGCCAUGUCAUUUGAGCUGAGUUAUAAUGAGCAUUUCGUGUGGGCUUUGUAAAAACAAUAAUUCAGCCCAUCACCACCCUUUUGACAAAUUCUUUUACGGCUCAAGUUUUGAGAGUCAAUAACUCUUCCACUCCGUCUUCUCCUUUUUUUUGUCAAUCUUUUUGUUUUUUUGUCAAUCCCACUCCGUCUUCUCCAAUCCAUGAGUUUUAACGUUAAUUUGAACUUCUCCUCAUCAAUCAAUUAUCAACUUUAAAUUCUUCUUCAGUUUUUCGUUCCGCCUCCCCUUUCUACUCCUCCUACAUAAAGCCAUAUGUGUAAACCUAAUUGUAUAAAUGGCAAGCAAAAUCUCAAAAUCGCAAAAUCAAGCACCCCGUCGCUGUCAACCACAAAGUAUCAAUAUUGUGAAACACGUAAGAAAAUGGCAUGGAGCAAUCGCUUUCUUCAAAAUCUCCACCAUGGCCUUACCUUAUCUUCCAAGAACCAUCAAGAGGUUGAGAGACUUUUAAUGCCUCAAAAAGAUGGAGAUCGUUAGUUUUCUCUGCGGCUCCAUCCCUGUUCUCGCAGAGUGAGUGUUCUGAGGUGCCACAAGCUUCCAUUAGAGACAUAUCUUAAUCAGCCUCCACUGCUGACUGAUUUUCCCUUAAAAAACUUUUACUCCUUGCCGCAAUUACGUUUAGGAUAACGUGAGGGGAAACAAGCCGUCUGUUCUCGACGAUUACUAUUCCGGCUGGUAAGAAGUCUUCUCGGGUGGUUUCACGGAAGAGGAAAUGUCUAAUAUAUGAUGAACUGAUAAUUCCAAGCAAUGUAGAAUUAUGAAGGAAAUGACAGAAGACACAAAUACAUUGGUCAUAAAACUGAGAAAGGUUCCUCAUACUGACUAUCAUGAGAGAAGAAUCAAACGUUUUGCUGAUCUAUCAUGAAGUUCAGGGGAAAAAAAUGGGAAGAACAUUCAAGCUGGUUGAUGACCAACUUUGUCCGUGGUUUUUGGCAUUGCAGGUUUCACACAAACGAGCUAGAAAUCUACUCUUACUUGUGUGGCUGCUUAUGGUAUAGAUAAAAAAUGUUGUAGACCUGCAUUACUUAUUUAUGUGAUAACAUGAAGCUUUUUUGUUUCACUUUCUAGCUAUUGCUUUGUCAAACUUUGCAUUUUGUUUUCUUGGCUUGGGGUUGUUUCUUCUACUGCAAACCGAGGUUUUAGUAAGGAUUUUUUACUAUGUAAUACUGAUUCAUUUCGUAGUUAGGUUUAUUAUGUGUUAAACGUUGGAAAAUGUAAGAUUUAGAGGAAGAAUGGAAAAAAAACCUUUUACCCAAGGUUAAGUU
Brassica napus (rape) is the source of this 2121-nucleotide long non-coding RNA. RefSeq lists it as uncharacterized. The record is from RefSeq and is a predicted model, not a curated record. Lineage: Eukaryota; Viridiplantae; Streptophyta; Magnoliopsida; Brassicales; Brassicaceae. The transcript has 6 exons.